AUAUUUAUUUUAAAUCACAAACCUAAAUUCCAAUGUACACAUUUAUAGAACAGCUUUUUAAUACCAUAGGCAUAAAGAGUAAGUUUACCUGCCACUGUGAACAGAAAUCUAAGUUAAUACUGUGCUACUAGUUACCUGAGGUUUUGAGUUCAAAGCGGACAGCGCAAGUAUAAUCGUAAAAUUCAAUGAAUAGGUUUGUUUGACAUUGCUAGAAUGAGCUUGCACCUUACUGCCAUGAAACUGGUACUAAAAGCAUACAUAUGUACAUAAUUGCAGACUAAAGAUUAUGGUCUCUGCAGUUGCACAGGAGUGAUGGGAGAAUAAGUACAGCACUAGUGUAUGCUCUCAUAACUGCAAAAUGUAAAUCUAACCACACAGUUGUGUUUUCAGAGGGUCCAGAACCACCCUUCAAUUUUAUUUUUAUUAAUACAAAAAAUGCAUGUCUGUACAGACUUAUGUAGGAGUAUAUAUACAAAAAGCACUGUGUCUCAUUUAAGCAAACUCACUACACACACAUAUAUGGGAGGAGCAGAAAGGAAUUAGAAAGAAUACUGAGGAGGGAGAUAAACUACUGAGGAAGCAGGCAGAUCAGCAACUGUAUAUGAAACUAAAGGUGGGUCUGAUGAGAUAUUAAUGGUAGAUCUGUGUUAGUAGCUAGAGAUGGGUCUGGAGACUGUGUGAGUACUAGAGUUAGGUGUUAGAAACUAAAGGCAGAUCUGGCGAUUAUGUGAAGGGCAAGAUGUGUGUCUAGGGGGUGCACGGCUUGAGGUAGGUCUGGAGGGUGUGUGAGGGCUUGAGCUUUUUUUGUGUGGUGGUGUGAGGGUUAGAUUUGGGACAAAUUGUGGGGUACAAGGUAGAUCUAGACUAGAGCUAUACCGUGAUACUGUGUAAAGAGUUUAGUGUAGAUCUGAUCUUUGUAAAGGGAAAGGUGCAGACCUAACGCAGGAGUGGAGGUUAUAAUUGAUUGUGUAAGUUUGCUAGAGAUUAAUCUAAAGGCUAUGCGACUGGCUUGAGAUGGGCCUGGGGUUACAUGUGCUGCUAAAGUUUGAGGGUCUCUAGAGUCUUAUAGGCAUCAAAAUAACAUUAGCUGAAUUAAGAAGUUUUUGUGUAUAGGUCAUUUCCCUGCAGUCUCACUGCUCAAUUCUCUGCCAUUUAGAAGUUAAAUCACUAUUGUUUCUGUUUAUGCAGCCCUAGCCACACCUCCCCUAGCUGUGACUGACACAGCCUGCAUUAAAAAAAGGCUUCAUUUUUAAUCUGAUGUUAACUUACUUUAGAAGUUUUAUAUCCUGCUCUGCCAAUUUUACUUUAAUCACACGCAAGGCUCCUGCAUGGUCUAACAAGGCUAUUAAAGAAGGAGAUAAGAAAUUCUAAAUUGUAAACAAUGUUUAAUAGAGGACAUUUAAACAUAAGAUCUCUGUUUAUAAAGCUGUUUAUGUCAUAUAAGGGAGUGACAAGGGCAGCAUAAACAGUAAUUUAAGUUCUAAAUGGCAGAGAAUUGAGCAGUGAAACUGCAGAGGCAUGAGAUUAUCUAUCUAUCUAUCCAUCUAUCGAUCUCAAAACUGCAUAAUUAAGCUAGAGUUGUUUUGGUGCCUAUAAUGGGGACACUGAUCUCAGUGCAAAAUAAAGCAGGUUUCAGACGGUGAGUUAGUUAUGUGGCUGUAAAAUAAAAAUAGCCGGUAAUUUAAAAUACAACAGGUGAAAAUGAAGUCAAGAAACUGGUAGCGAGGUGAAACAGGGAGAACAGGGGCUGAUGGAGAAAUACUACAAGUAGAGUAAGGGCUAAUAUAAAGUCAGAUAUUAGUCUGUUAGAAGAUAAAAUGACCAUUACCAAUUUAUUCUUGCAGAAAUCUCAUGAGUGUGAUGAGAGAUUUUAUUUUACAUAAGAAUCUCUGUGGGACCUUGAGACUAGUUUUUAUUAUUUAGUAGGAUAAGAAAAAUGACUCGUAGACUAUGCUUACUUGUUGAGAUUAAGGUUGUUGUUAAAUCUGGGGAACUGGAUUAACCCAGCUUUGCUGGAUGCUUGAAAAGAUUCAGGAGUAUUUUGGGCUGUGCAGUGUGCUACGAUAAAAUGAAACCGAAUGAUGAAUAAUGCAUUUCUGUAGAUUUAAUUAGGUUUAUUCAGCAUACUGAAAAUUUAG
This is a non-coding RNA of Pelobates cultripes (western spadefoot toad), 2138 nucleotides long. NCBI's taxonomy places the organism in Eukaryota, Metazoa, Chordata, Amphibia, Anura, Pelobatidae. The record is from the annotation of a GenBank genome assembly.